GAUGAACGCUGGCGGCGUGCCUAAUACAUGCAAGUCGAGCGAACAGACGAGGAGCUUGCUCCUCUGACGUUAGCGGCGGACGGGUGAGUAACACGUGGAUAACCUACCUAUAAGACUGGGAUAACUUCGGGAAACCGGAGCUAAUACCGGAUAAUAUAUUGAACCGCAUGGUUCAAUAGUUAAAGACGGUUUUGCUGUCACUUAUAGAUGGAUCCGCGCCGCAUUAGCUAGUUGGUAAGGUAACGGCUUACCAAGGCAACGAUGCGUAGCCGACCUGAGAGGGUGAUCGGCCGCACUGGAACUGAGACGCGGUCCAGACUCCUACGGGAGGCAGCAGUAGGGAAUAUUCCGCAAUGGGCGAAAGCCUGACGGAGCAACGCCGCGUGAGUGAUGAAGGUCUUCGGAUCGUAAAACUCUGUUAUUAGGGAAGAACAAAUGUGGAAGUAACUAUGCACGUCUUGACGGUACCUAAUCAGAAAGCCACGGCUAACUACGUG
This 497-nucleotide ribosomal RNA is filed under the name uncultured bacterium. RNAcentral describes it as "partial 16S ribosomal RNA". It matches the Rfam family "Bacterial small subunit ribosomal RNA", at positions 28 to 507 of the family's 1533-position model. The record is from RNAcentral.